This is a long non-coding RNA of Gadus morhua (Atlantic cod), 323 nucleotides long. RefSeq lists it as uncharacterized. The record is from RefSeq and is a predicted model, not a curated record. The transcript is spliced from 4 exons. Lineage: Eukaryota; Metazoa; Chordata; Actinopteri; Gadiformes; Gadidae.
UGCAGAGUUUCAAGAACUGCAAACAACUGUUGUGACAUCUUGCGAUGCGAUCUUCCAGGAGGCCUAUGGGUCGGUUUUCAUCACCACUCUUGUCCUUGGAUUCAGCCCGUCCAUCGAUGGAAACACUACAAUAGAGGUGGAGCUUGUUUUCAAUAACACAGCAUCACCCGAAGUGACCGUUUCAACUGCCGAUGUACUGGAGACCAUGACGACGGCAGCAACCAACACCUCCGCUGGCGGAUUCUCCUUUGAUCCUGAAUCUAUUGUUGUCACAGAAACGCCAACCUCAACGACAGCACCAACAACAACUACGGCAACUCCAG